RNAcentral lists this small RNA (323 nucleotides) under Histoplasma capsulatum. RNAcentral's name for it is "hypothetical RNA". Lineage: Eukaryota; Fungi; Ascomycota; Eurotiomycetes; Onygenales; Ajellomycetaceae. The record is from RNAcentral. RNAcentral also lists the same sequence under 1 other name.
ACUUCUUCUACUAUCUUCUACUAUUCACUCUUCAUACUGUUAUCACCUCUCACACAUAUCUUUAACUAGAACAGAAGACGUGUUUUGAUCUUGUUAUCUGCAACUGAUGGAGGCAAUGAGGUAAUAAGAGUGGUGCAAUAUGAGAGACAGUAAAUUUCAUGCAUCAUGAUUGCAAAAUAACUUGCUAAGGAAACAGUUGAGAGCCGGCAUUUAAGACACAAUUCUGUUUCAAAAUCAUUUAUCACCACUAUUGUAGGGAUCACAGAAUCAACUACUAGAUUUAAACUUCAAGCAUUUGAUGACACUGAAGCACCAAAGGGCCC